GACAGAGGAGCCAAGCGUUGUCCGGAUUGACUGGGCGUAAAGCGCACGCAGGCGGCUGUGUACGUGGGGUGUGAAAGCUGGCGGCUUAACUGCCAGACGCCACCUCAUACGGCACGGCUCGAGUCCGUGAGAGGUCCACGGAAUUGCCGGUGUAGUGGUGAAAUGCGUAGAGAUCGGCAGGAACACCCAGGGGGAAGCCAGUGGACUGGCGCGGUGCUGACGCUCAGGUGCGAAAGCGUGGGGAGCGAACCGG
This 253-nucleotide ribosomal RNA is filed under the name uncultured bacterium. Its description in RNAcentral is "partial 16S ribosomal RNA". It matches the Rfam family "Bacterial small subunit ribosomal RNA", at positions 524 to 776 of the family's 1533-position model. The record is from RNAcentral.